GAAGGCGGCCUUCUGGACAGUACUGACGCUGAGAUGCGAAAGCGUGGGGAGCAAACAGGAUUAGAUACCCUUGUAGUCACGCUGUAAACGAUGUCGAUUUGGAGUUUGUUGCCUAGAGUGAUGGGCUCCGAAGCUAACGCGAUAAAUCGACCGCUGGGGAGUACGGCCGCAAGGUUAAAACUCAGAUGAAUUGACGGGGGCCCGCACAGCGGUGGAGCAUGUGGUUUAAUUCGAUGCAACGCGAAGAGCCUUACCUGGUCUUGACAUCCAUAGAAUUCUGCAGAGAUGUGGGAGUGCCUUCGGGAACUAUGAGACAGGUGCUGCAUGGCUGUCGUCAGCUCGUGUUGUGAAAUGUUGGGUUAAGUCCCGCAACGAGCGCAACCCCUAUUCUUUGUUGCCAGCGAUUUGGUCGGGAACUCAAAGGAGACUGCCGUUGAUAAAGCGGAGGAAGGUGGGGACGACGUCAAGUCAUCAUGGCCCUUACGACCAGGGCUACACACGUGCUACAAUGGCGUAUACAAAGGGAAGCGAAGGUGCGAGCUGGAGCGGAUCUCAUAAAGUACGUCUAAGUUCGGAUUGGAGUCUGCAACUCGACUCCAUGAAGUCGGAAUCGCUAGUAAUCGUAGAUCAGAAUGCUACGGUGAAUACGUUCCCGGGCCUUGUACACACCGCCCGUCACACCAUGGGAGUGGGUUGCACCAGAAGUAGAUAGCUUAACCGCGAGGGGGGCGUUUACCACGGUGUGAUUCAUGACUGGGGUGAAGUCGUAACAAGGUAACCA
This 781-nucleotide ribosomal RNA is filed under the name uncultured Enterobacteriaceae bacterium. RNAcentral's name for it is "bacterial SSU rRNA". It matches the Rfam family "Bacterial small subunit ribosomal RNA", at positions 717 to 1502 of the family's 1533-position model. The record is from RNAcentral. Lineage: Bacteria; Pseudomonadati; Pseudomonadota; Gammaproteobacteria; Enterobacterales; Enterobacteriaceae.